This is a non-coding RNA of Pimephales promelas (fathead minnow), 1632 nucleotides long. NCBI's taxonomy places the organism in Eukaryota, Metazoa, Chordata, Actinopteri, Cypriniformes, Leuciscidae. The record is from RefSeq and is a predicted model, not a curated record.
AUUCAUAAACAUUAAACUAGUGGGGGGGGGAGGGCUUCAGAGCGCCGUCGGUUGCCCGAAGGUUAACUGCUUAACCUGUUAACCUUCAGCUCCACAAGGGGGCUCACAGCUGAAAAUGACAUGCCUGGAUAACAAUAAAUACAGCUCCUGAGAACAGUGUACCACAGGCACAAUUAAGGUAUCUUUGGAAAGAAGACAGUUGGGACUUUACUAACAAUCAAUCAGAUUUGAUAAUACUCAAACAGAAAAAAAGUUAUAAAAGUUAAAAGUGCCUCAAAAAUAAUGUGCGCCACAAAAAUGUUUUAGUAUUUCAUGUACAAAUAUAUAAAAAUAGACCUGGAGUAAUUCAGAUAGAUAAAGGAUUGAAAGCAACAAGUCUCAUCAGUUUAUAUUUCAAAUUUGAGGAAGAUAUAAUGAACAAUGGGGUUCCUGCAAACUUUUUUCCAAGACUAUGUCAGUUCCCUUUCUCCCUCCCCCUGCCUGAGGCACAUCCCCAGAAAUAACAUGCCCAAACUAAAAUAUUUGCAGUUGCUCAACUAUUUGCACUACAUGCACAAUUUAGACAUGUUUAAAAAGAAGACACUUUAGAGUGUAUUACCCAACUGUUAAAGUUGAAAAAACUUACACAGACAAAAAGUUAUAGAAUUUAAAGUGUCUUGAAGAUAAUUUAUACUGCAUGUAAUAUUUUACAAUUUCAUGUAAAAAUAAAUGAAAACAAACCUGUAGGAAUCCAGUUAGGUAAUUGAUUGAAAGACAUAAGUCUCAUCAGUUUAUAUUUCAAAUUUGAGGAAGAUAUUAUGAAAAAUGAGAUUCCUACAGUAUUUUUUCCAAGACUAUGUCCAGGUACCAAGAAACCUCCUUGGAUACAUCAAAAAGCAACCUAAUGACCAAAUGUUAUGCAGGGCACUGCAAGCUAUUUCAGUCAAUUCAUAAAAUAAUGCAAUUAUAAAAUAAUACACACAACCAUUAGACUUUAUGCAAGUGAUUUAUUUGCACAACAGAACAAAAAAAAUAUAUAUGUAAAAUACAUAAGUAAAAUAUUAUGAAAUAUAAAAAAUAAAUAACUGAGGUUCUUUGCAAUAGAAAAUACAAGUGAUAUAAAUACUGUACUUUGUUGGCUUGGCCUUCAUAUAUUGCUUUAGUCCAUUCCUAGCUUUUUAUGCCACCAUCCUCUUGUGAAUUGCAAUGUUCUGAAAAGUAUGGAAAAAGUGAAGAAUAGUGAAGAAACUGAGAGCUUGCAUCUCUGGCUGGUGCUUGGAUGCCAUUCUUCAUCUGAAGAUUCAACUUGAUGGCUGUUGCAUGGGAAAGAAUGGAAAGAUAAUUAGCACUGCAUGUCAAGUAAAUAAUUCUGUUUAGUUUCUAUAUAGCUGGCCAUUCAUUCAACAAUCAAACUGAUGGGCAGUCGUUUACACAGCAUUCGUACUAAAGCUCAUCCAUUCAAUCAACAAUCAAUGGCCAGUGAUAUAGACAGCAUUCAUAUGGAUGACCAGACAAAGAACCAACAAUCACACUGAUGGCCGGCCAUCAGACAGGAAUGUGGCAUUUUGAAAGCAUACAACUCCUUCCUAUAUAGCACAUAUUUUCUGCAAUUCUUCCCACCAAUUUCUGCAAAAAACAAAAAAAAAAAAACAA